GUGUCUUCGUAAGACAGAACUGUCAGGCUUUUUGGUCAGUUAGUAGCCAGUGAGGUAUGCAAUUCUUUUCUGCAACUGCUGCUGCCGGCAUCGGAGCUGUCUUUUCUCUGUAGCCAUCCUCUUCUCAGCCCCCACCAGGGCUUGCAAGUAUUCCAAGGCCUUGCUUAGGAUCACUACUUUGGGGGCCUUGGAGCAGCUGGCCAGGGUGGGCACCUGGUCCCUCAGCGCCAAGAAUCGCGAACGCAGGUCAUUCCGCCUCUUGCGCUCCAGGAAGUUGUGAUUCUUCCUCUUGGUCACAUCCUCAGUAUCAGAACUGACAGGUUUGGGGUGGCAGGACUGGGCAGCCUCACUUUCUACAGGUGGGGGACUCACAAUCUCUUCAUCCUCCUCAUCUUCCUUUUCCCCUGCAGCAUCUCUCUCCAGAACCUCUUCUUGGGGACCCCUCUCUGAAGCCUCUUCUUGGGAGCAGCUUUCUGGAGGAAAACGGGCAGCAUAGUUGUGCUGUUGCUGAUGGAUGGAGAUGUGGAAAUGCUUCAUGCAGGGAUCCAGGGGGUCUGCUCGCACCGUGAUGGUGACCGGCUUCCGAAUACCCAGAGACUGCCUCUUCUCUACUGUCACAACAUCAAUUUCUUCAUUCUCUGUCCGAGAAAAGAGAUCAAGAGAAGAAACACAUCCCAUGAGAAACACAAACAUAGACCCUACAGCUUUAGCUGUCUACGCUGGUGCUUGGGAAGGUCGCCUGCCCCACCUCCUUCCCUGGACUAGAAGGUUAGAUUUGUAAUCAUAGGUCGGCGAAGCUGCAGGAACUUCACAAAGGUACAAGCGACCAUUUCCAAACUACCUGCACCAGAGGCAGAGACUGGGCAGCAGAAUGUCCCAGAUAUGGGGCUCAUAACACCAGAGACCUGGAGACACCUGGACACGCCCUUCUCAUUCACUGGCUUGAAGGUCUCUUAGGUUAACCUAACCAGGAGAGGGGCAAUUGGGAGAAAAGUCUCCUCCUGCUCCACACAUUUUGCAGCCUCCACACAGAAGUCCACCUUAAUGGAUCUCGGCCUCGCAAAGGAAGAGCUCCGUUCUCAGCUUCUUUGCAUAUCAGGAAGCUUGAGCCCCUUUGUCAGGAAGGCUUCCAUUGUGUGGACAAUCGCAUUAUUUCUCCAUUAAUAAACCUGACCAUUCAGCCCUCCUGGCCCCAAAGCCCAUGAUUGGCU
RNAcentral lists this long non-coding RNA (1211 nucleotides) under Homo sapiens (human). RNAcentral's name for it is "HSALNT0291605". The record is from RNAcentral. Lineage: Eukaryota; Metazoa; Chordata; Mammalia; Primates; Hominidae.